Molecule: long non-coding RNA, 8769 nt
Filed under: Daucus carota (carrot)
Lineage: Eukaryota; Viridiplantae; Streptophyta; Magnoliopsida; Apiales; Apiaceae
Description: long non-coding RNA (DCAR_LNC000909)
Source: RNAcentral
GUUUGAGAGAUGGGGUCCAAGAACAGUGCUUCAGUAGCUCUCUUUCUCACCCUUAACAUUCUCUUCUUUGCAUUGGUGAGUUCCACUGAAAAAUGCCCUGAUCCUUAUAAGCCUAAGCCCAAGCCCACUCCCAAACCAACUCCCACUCCUUAUCCAUCUGCAGGAAAAUGCCCUAGAGAUGCCCUAAAGUUAGGUGUCUGUGCUGAUGUCCUCAACUUGGUGCACAAUGUUGUGAUUGGAUCUCCACCAACACUCCCAUGCUGCAGCCUUCUUGAAGGCCUCGUCAACCUCGAGGCCGCGGUAUGCCUUUGCACUGCCAUUAAAGCUAACAUAUUGGGAAAGAACCUCAAUCUUCCUAUUGCCCUUAGCUUAGUUCUUAACAACUGCGGCAAGCAAGUUCCAAAUGGCUUCGAAUGUACCUAAAAUUUCUAGUGUGAGAGAAGGAUCAUGAUGUGCUUUCUGGAUUUUGUUCUUUGUGUUUUUGAUUAUUGUAAAGUGUGCUGUUUCUGAUUGCAGUAUUGUUGGCUUAACAAUAUAUUAAUUUUUUUUUUUUGUCAUUUAUGAAGCAAUUCAAUGGAAAAUUUUGUUUUGAGUUCUGUCAUCUUAGAGUAGUUAUUAGUUUGUGUUCAUGAGUACUAAUUUGCAGACUACUCAAGCCCAUGUGCAAAAUUGAAAGUAUUGUGUUGUGAAUAUUAAAAUUUCGAAACUGGUAAAAUUUCAUAUAUAUAGUACCCAUUAUUCUUUAGAAAAUCGGUGAUUAAACAACAUUAAUAACCGAUUAAUUACCGUUUCGUAAUUCGUCGAGCUAAUUAAAUUUCGAAUUAUUUAACAAUCAUUUAAUUGAAUUUUUUUUGAUCCAAAUAACCCAUGUUCCAUACUGUAAAUAUAAUAUUGGCAUCAAUAUAAAUCUUAAAUAAAUGGAUCCAUAAAAAUAAAAAUGUUGGAAUUCAUGCACUUGCAUAUUCAUUUUCAUAUUCAGAGUAUCUAUUUAUUAUAUGUUCAUGCAACUUGUAAUCAAGUUCAUUUAGAGUUCUUUGUAUCAACUCUUUAAAUAUUCUCUAGAAUCUAUACAAAGUAUAUUCUACAUCAUUUGUAAUUCACUUCAAUCAGUGAAAUCAAAUUUAGAAAUAUAAAAGUUCUUUCAUCUUUAUUUCUUUUUUUUUUCCAUCUAUAUUUCUUUCUUAGAGCUCGUAGCAACUCAUUUAGUUUCAUUCAAAAAUUAUAUGCCUAAAAGAUGUAUAUAAAUGAAAUUGUUCAAACGUAUUUUAGUUGUAAUAUAUACGCCUAUUAGAAUAUGUUAAAAUAAAAUAUCUGUAAACCGACCUCUAAUUUGACAUUUGCUUCAUUAAAACAAAUAUUAUAUAUAUUUGAAGCUAUGAAAAUAAUUAAAAAAUAAUUUGAUCAAAGAAAAUGAAAAUAUUUAAAUUAAUUUUACUACAAGUCUGAGUAAAACAAAAAACCAUAAACUAGUAGUUAAUUUAAAUACCAACCACCCGACUACUAAGAUUUUUAGGAUUUUUUAUAAAUACCUACAUCUUAAAAACAAUUGCAAAAAUAUUAUCACUUUUUAAAACAAAUUGCAAAAAUACUAUGUUUUUUUAAAAAAAUAUUGACAAAAAUAAGGAGGUUGCAUAUGCAACCAUAUUUGCAACUGUUAGCAACUAUAUAUGCAACCACAAAUACAAUUUUGACUGAAAAUUUGCAGGUACUUGCAAAUGACGAAAAUGAGUACCUCUGCGUUGCCAAUACUAAUAUCACAAAAGUAACCAUGAAAUGAACUAAAACAUAACGAGAAAAUCAAUUAAAAGCAACUCAACAACCUUCAAAGAAACUGAAUUCAGGUAACAAUUGUUAUGUUUUGAUUUUGUAUAAAUGUAUAUAUGAUUUUGUGCAUGCAUAUACGUGUUUGCGGUCAGUGGCGGAGGCAGAACACAAUACUCAAGGAGGCACUUUUUAAUUUUUAAUAUUCUAGGGGCAAUUUUUAACAUUCCAGGGUCACAAGGAGUAAUAUUUUGUAGAUUAAUAUUGUCAAAUAUAUGGAUCUCAUAUAAAAACAUAUACACUUUUCUGAAACCUACGGGGGCAUGGGCACCCAGAGGCCCCCAUGUCCCUCCGCCUCUGUUUGCGGUGCUGGUGGGCUUGGUGGUGUCCGAAUGCGGGGCUCGAAAGGGUGGUGUGGGGAUUAGUUUUUUAACCGGAGGAGGGGAUGUACAUUGGAGGCUGUUGAUGUUGAUUGUUGGUCUAUAAUGGCCGACUGUAGGAAUGGAUGUUCGUGCGGGAGGAAUAAGGAGAGGGAGAAGAGAGUGCAUAUUGAGAUAGAGAAGAGAUUGAGAGCAAAGAUGAGGUAGAGGCAUUUGUUGGAGUAAGGAGAAAUAGGAACACAAAAGCACCCUAGAAAUCAGGAAGCCUGAACAACUAAAAAUACUUGCCCACAUAAUACUCCACUACUUAACUCCCUUGCUUCAAACAUGCAGAUCACACCAAGAAGUUUUCGGAAAUAAUAAUGCUUAGCUUGAGAAAGCGACUUCGUCAAAAUAUCAGCUUUUUGUUCAUUUGUUGGACAAAAUUUGAGCUGCAAUUCUCCAUCUGCUGUGUGACUGCGGAUAAUAUGAUAAUGAAUGUCGAUGUGUUUGGUUCUACUAUGGAAGGCUAGAUUUCUUGUCAUUGCUAUUGUUGCUUUAUUAUAACAAUACAUUUCUGUUGCACCAUCUUGUUUUUGAUGUAUAUCAACCACCACACGUUGCAACCAUAAAGCUUUAAACAUAUUCAGCCUCCGACGAAGAUAAAGCAACCACAUCCUACUUCUUUGAACUCCAUAAAAUUUCUCCUGAACCCAAAGCUAAAAACAUGACCUGAAGUGCUCUUUCUAUCAUCAAGACAACCUACCCAAUCACUGUCGCUAUACCCAAAAAGCUUGAAAUCCGCAUCUUUUGAAUACCAAAUCCCAAACUCAGUCGUCCCUGCUAUAUGACCAAGUACUCUCUUUGCGGCACCUAAAUGUUGCUUUGUUCGAUUAUGCAUAUACCUGGAUAGCACACUCACAGAGUGCAUGAUAUCUAGUCGUGUAUGCGUCAGAUAAUUUAGCCCGCCAAUCAGACUUCUGCAAUAGCUUGUAUAUGCAAUUGGUGUACCAUCUUAAGCCUACAAUUUUUCACCGGUAUUCAUAGGUGUAGCUGCUGCCUUACAAUUUUUCAUAUGAAACCUACAGAGCAGGUCUUUAGCAUAUUUCUUUUGCGCAACAAAUAUUCCAUCAUCUGCUUGUUUCACCUCAAGACCAAGAAAAUACUGCAAUGUCCCUAAAUCUGACAUCUCACACUCACUUUUCAUACAUGACCUGAACUCAUUAACAAGAGUUUCAGACGAUCCAAAAUAGAUCAUGUCAUCAACGUAAGUGCGUAUUACUAAGAAUUCGCCAUUAUCAUGCUUUUCACAUAUAGAGUGGGUUCAUUUUCGCUCCUGACGAAACCAUGUUGUAGAAAGUAAGAAUCAAUUCUCUUGUACCAUGCUCUCGGUGAUUAUUUUAACCCAUAAAGAGCUUUAAUUAGCUUGUACACCUUAUUCUCCUUCUCAUUAACAACAAAUCCAUCAGGCUGUGAGACAUAAACAUCCUCUUCUAGCUCCCCAUUUGGGAAAGCAGAUUUUAGAUCAAAUUGAUGCACAUGUAAGUUCAUUUUAGUAGCUAAACAAAGGAGAGUUCUUACCGUUUCAAAACGAGCCACCGGUAAGAGAGUUUCGUCAAAGUCAACACCUUCCUGUUGACCGUACCCUUUCGCCACGAGCUUGCUUUAUAUAUACUUUUGGAUGAUCCCAUCUGCAUGAUGCUUUAUCUUAUAUACCCAUUUGAGACCAAUGAGAGUUUUUCCUUCUGGUAAAUCAACCAAUUCCCAUGUUUUGUUACGAACAAUAGCUUGCAAUUCUUCAACCAUUACAUUCUACUAAUUUUCAGUGUUAAUUGCUUUUUCAAAAGAUUUAGGUUUCGACACAUUUAAUGCAAAGGGAAGAGAUUCAUAUAUCUCCUCAAUAGACUUCAUUUUUUUGGAGGUGUUUCACUUGAAGGAGUACAGGAUGAAGAGUUCACUGGAGACCCGCUUCCAUCAAAUUUUUUAUCAACACUAACCAGUGAAUUUGGAAGACAAGAAGGAACAUUGGAAUAACCAAUUGGUUCAUCUUGGAUGGCAACUUGAUACUAAUAUCGACAAGAUCAGAAGCAACAUUCCAGCUUGAUUCCUCAUUAAAUACAACGUCCCUGCUGAUGAUGAUAACUUUUUCCUUCACCGUAUCGUACAACUUGUAUGCUUUCGAAGGAAUGCUAUAAUUGAUAGAUUUGCAUUUUGUAGCUUUCUCAUCAAGAUUUUUACGAUAUAGAGCAUCCACUAAAACAUAAGCAACGAACCAAAUACACUUAGAUGACUUACAUCAGGCUUACUACCUUCCCAUGCUUCGUAUGGAGUUUGAUUAUACACUGCCUUGGUUGGACAAAUAUUCAGAAUGUACACAGCUGUAGCAACAGCUUCACCCCAAAAUAUUUUAGGAAUGCCUCUUUCUUUCAUAAUACUUCUUGUCAUCUCUACAAUUGUGCGAUUUUUUCAUUACGCGAUGCCAUUUUGUUGGGGCUUGCGAGGUGCUGUGAGUUCUCGAAAUAUAUCAUUAUUUUCACAAUAAGUAUUAAAUUCUUGUGACAAGAAUUCACCUCUCCUAUUUGUUCAAAGUGUCUUGAUCAUUCUCUCACCUCGCUUUUCCACGAGAGACUUAAAUUUCUUAAAACAACCAAAUGCCUCAGAUUUGUACUUCAAAAAGUAGACCCAACACAUACAGCUUUAAUCAUCAACAAGAAGUAGGAAAUAGAGACUUCCACCCAAAGUUUCUACAGACAUUGGACCACACAAAUCUUCAUGAAUUAGUUCUCAACAUAUUGAAGCUCUCCAAGCCUUGCCUACUGUGAAUGUUUGUCUACUCUGUUUUCCAUAAACACAGCCCUCACAAAAACUGAGAUUACUGAUUUUGGGCAGCCCAAUUAUCAUAUCCUUGUUUCCUAAUAACAGUAAACCUCUAACAUUUAAAUGACCAUAUCUUAAAUGCCAUAGAUUUUAUUUGGAAUCAUUUGCUAAAAGGGCAUGACUCUGGCUCACAUUAAGAGGAAACAUUCUAUUCGAGCCAUAAAUAGAUUGUUUUCUUCAUCUAGAUAUUCAUCGGCUUGGUGAUAUUUAUUCUAUUCGAGCCAUAAAUCGAUUGUUUAAAAAUAUAGUAAAUUUGUAAGGUUUUAGACAAGUUAGUAUAUGUACAAAUAAAUAUUCAAAGAUGAGUAUAUUUUUCAAAUUCCCAAAUUUUCAUAUUUUAAUUUUCAUAUGAUAAUAUAAAUUAUACAUAUUAUAAUAUAAUUAAUAAGUUAUGAGAUUAUUAGAUAAAAUAAAUACGAUAAAAUAUUUACCUGAGGGAUUCAAUACUUUGACGCUCAAUUAUCAAAAUAUAUAUUCCUAAUAUGUUAGUUUCUUAAUAUUUUGACAUCUAUUUUUAAGAAUUUUGACCACACACAUAAAAAAUGUAUUUACAAAAGUAAAAUUUUAGAAAUAUUUCCUCCAUCCUAUUUUAACUCAUGUUAAAUUUUUUGACACAGAUUUUAAGGUGCUAAAUAUCACAUCUAAAUAUAAUAUUUUUAUUAUAAAAUCUAUAUCAAAUAAAAAUCUAGAAACUAAACUUUAAAAAUUUAAUAUGAAAGUUAAAUAUUUUUGUUAAGUGUUAUUUUUUAAACUAUAAUAUAUAUAUAUAUGUCAAAUGCCAAAAAUAGUAAUGGAGGAAGUAAUAUUUUUUUAAAACUCUUCAAAAUACAUAUAAAAAGUCCAACUGAAUAAAAUUAUUUUUUAUGAUUAAACUUAAGGGUUUUUAUACAUAACCAAGUUUGGAAGAAUUUUUGCGAAAAUACUAUCAGUUUUUUAAAAUUACGGUGGUUGCAUAGGCAACCCGCAUCUGAAACUGCCAGCCAGCAACAACCACAUGCAACGAGAAAUGCAACUUUGAAAUAAAAAAAUUUGGAAAUUAUAUUUGUUUCUAUAAUAGGUUACAACCGGUUGCAAGACAGAAAAAUAACCCCUACCGGCCAAACAUUACGACCUAAAAACAACUAAUACAACAACUUUUGCAAUUUUGAAACAGACUACUCAAAUUAACUAUCCCAGCCACUCAUUCUUCAAACAAACUCUUCGACUACAACUCAAUCAAAAAGAAGAACAAGACUCGGACCUGCGACUUGGACUCAGAGAAAACACACAAGAAAUCAGCCACUCUCGGUGUCACAGCAAAACACAACAAACAAAUCUCAAGAAAUCGAAGCAAAAUCCAGCAGAAUCAAACAUCAACUCAGCUACUCGGCGUGACUCGGAGGUGACUCGGUGCAAAUCACAAACAAAAGAACGAAAAGACGCAACCAGAUGAGGAGCCUAGGCGGGACUUGGCGGCGCGUGAGAAUAGGGAGAGGUGGGAGAGUUCGUCGGCGAGGGGGAUGGGCAGGAAGAUGAUAGUGCGGGUUGAAGAGGAGGGAGGGUUUGAAGAGUGAUUAAUUGAUUGUUGGAGAGAGAGAGAGAGUGGGGGUGAGGUGAGAGAGGAGGAAAAAUAAGUAGUAAAGAAAUAAAAAGGUGAAUUAGAGAAGGUAGUAUUUUUGAAAAUAAGAUUGAAAAAAUGUAAUAUAUUUGAAAGAUUUUUGAGAGGGUGUAUAUUUGUAAAUAAGAUCCAUAAAAAUAGUAUACAUGGCAAAUAAUGGUUCAUCAGUGUGAUUAUAAUUCUAGGAGUUAAAAAUUAACAUACUGAUUACCGACUAACAAAAAUUUUAGUAUUUGAAUUUAAGGAUAUGAAACUAAAUACUCCCUCCAUCCCACAAUACAUGCCUCUUUUAAAAAAAUUAUGCAUAUUAAGAAAACAUUAAUUAGAUAAAAAUUUCUCACUUAUACCCUAAUGAAUACAUGAAUGUAGACUAUUAUUCAACCUAUAUUAAUUGAAAUUUUGGAAUAAUGUCAAUAUAUUUGCAUUUGGAAACUAAAAGUAAACAGGUAUUAUGAGACAAAAAAUUCUUCCAAAAGAGACAUGUAUUGUUGGACGGAAGGAGUAAAAUAUAUAAUUAAUCUGGGUCCCUCUUGGAAAUAUCAAAAUUCCGGUAAAAUGAAGAGUUCUUUCUCGGGGAGGUUUUGUCCACCUUACAGAGAUAAAAAAUCAAAUAUAUUUAAUCUGGUUGAUUUCGGUUUGCUGAUACCAUACAAUUUUUUUUUUUUUUUUAAAGCAAGAACUCACUACUAGAAUUAGACAUUGGCUCUUAACCGAAUUGAUGUCUUCGCCUGUGUAGAAAAAGGUCGGGGUAUAUGACAUCGGUUUCAGCCGAUGUAAAAGGGGAAGGAACAUGGACAAUGAUUUGCUUAUGAAAACUGAUGUAUUUAACUCAUAUUUCUUAUUAUAUUGAAAAACUAAAUAUGAUAUUUUGCUACAUUAGGAGGUUAAGGAGAAUCAUAAACAUAUAAUACGGAAGAAUAUUAGACUCAUGAUAUAGAUCAGAAUUGAUGUCUUUAUGAACAUGUCAAAAUAUACUAAAAAUUAACAAAGCUAUGUCAAAUGAUAUAAAGAGCAAGCAAUGUUAAAACCAGGCUUUUACAUCAGGAACCUAACACUCUUAGAACUAUUUUUUCCAUGCCAAAUUCAAUCAAUAAUACCCCAAACUGAAAUCUUUUGGCUUAAUGUCCUUUUAACCCUAGAUGUUUGGGGGUGUGCCGAUGCGGCCUUACUGUUUUAACUCGGCCACUCCAAGUAUCCGAUAUGUUUUGAUUAGCCCUCAUACCAUGAGGAAGCAAAAAAACAGUAUAUAACAAAGGUUAAACUUGACAAUUCUAUUAAAGAUAAAGUUUUCUCAUUGCUCUUAACCCCUAAAGGAUACAUUAGAUGUUUCUUUCAACCCCUAAAGAAUACAUUAUAAUACAUUAGAUGUUCCUUUUAACCCUUAAGUUUAAUGCCCACAAAUGUGAAAUGUCAUGGUUGUCCAUCCGUUAUAUACCAUAUUUUGGUAUGAGGGCUAAUCGGAACAUAUCAGACAUUUGGAGGGUUGAAUCCGCCAAGUUAAAAUAUUGAGACUGUAUCGAGACACAUGGCGAACAUUGAGGGUUAAAAGGUCAUUUAACCAAUUCUUUUCAUAUAAAUGACCCCUAUUGUUUCAUUAAGUACUUAUUCACUUCAAGAAGCAGUUUAUAAAUCAGACUAUACUUCCUCUAAAUCAGUUCACGAGACAUCAAUUAUUGAUAUGUGACAAGAACAUGUCAAGCUGUUUAUGUAUUAUUCAGCCAUAUAGCCUCCAAAAAUAUCUCUUCAUUUAAUGUGCUUGACAGCUCAAUUUCACGAACUUAUCAGAGAAACUCCCCUAUAAAUUCAUCACUAAUCACAAUCCUUUCCAUCACAACAUAAACAUUCUUCUAAGCCUGAUCAACAAUAGUUCUCAUUAGCCUUUCUGUAGUUUGAGAGAUGGGUUCCAAGAACAGUGCUUCAGUAGCUCUCUUUUUCACUCUCAACAUUCUCUUCUUUGCCUUGGUCAGUUCCACUGAAAAAUGCCCUGAUCCUUAUAAGCCUAAGCCCAAGCCCACUCCCAAACCAACUCCCACUCCUUAUCCAUCUGCAGGAAAAUGCCCUAGAGAUGCCCUAAAGUUAGGUGUCUGUGCUGAUGUGCUCAACUUGGUGCACAAUGUUGUGAUUGGAGCUCCACCAACACUCCCAUGCUGCAGCCUCCUUGAAGGCCUUGUCAAC